This 376-nucleotide ribosomal RNA is filed under the name uncultured bacterium. RNAcentral describes it as "bacterial SSU rRNA". It matches the Rfam family "Bacterial small subunit ribosomal RNA", at positions 524 to 898 of the family's 1533-position model. The record is from RNAcentral.
UACGUAGGGGGCAAGCGUUGUCCGGAAUGACUGGGCGUAAAGGGCGUGUAGGCGGCCGAUUAAGUCUGGAGUGAAAGUCCUGUUUUUAAGGUGGGAAUUGCUUUGGAGACUGGUUGGCUUGAGUGCGGAAGCGGUAAGUGGAAUUCCCAGUGUAGCGGUGAAAUGCGUAGAGGUUGGGAGGAACACCAGUGGCGAAGGCGACUUACUGGGCCGUAACUGACGCUGAGGCGCGAAAGAGUGGGGAGCGAACAGGAUUAGAUACCCUGGUAGUCCACGCUGUAAACGAUGAAUGCUAGGUGUAGCGGGUAUCGACCCCUGCUGUGCCGCAGUAAACACAAUAAGCAUUCCGCCUGGGGAGUACGGCCGCAAGGUUGAA